GCAGUCGAGCGGACUUUUAAAGCUUGCUUUUGAAAGGUCAGCGGCGGACGGGUGAGUAACACGUGGGCAACCUGCCUGUAAGACUGGGAUAACUUCGGGAAACCGGAGCUAAUACCGGAUAAUAUAAGGAACCUCCUGGUUCUUUAUUGAAAGAUGGUUUCGGCUAUCACUUACAGAUGGGCCCGCGGCGCAUUAGCUAGUUGGUGAGGUAAUGGCUCACCAAGGCGACGAUGCGUAGCCGACCUGAGAGGGUGAUCGGCCACACUGGGACUGAGACACGGCCCAGACUCCUACGGGAGGCAGCAGUAGGGAAUCUUCCACAAUGGACGAAAGUCUGAUGGAGCAACGCCGCGUGAGCGAUGAAGGCCUUCGGGUCGUAAAGCUCUGUUGUUAGGGAAGAACAAGUGCGAGAGUAACUGCUCGCACCUUGACGGUACCUAACCAGAAAGCCACGGCUAACUACGUGCCAGCAGCCGCGGUAAUACGUAGGUGGCAAGCGUUGUCCGGAAUUAUUGGGCGUAAAGCGCGCGCAGGUGGUCCUUUAAGUCUGAUGUGAAAGCCCACGGCUCAACCGUGGAGGGUCAUUGGAAA
Molecule: ribosomal RNA, 591 nt
Filed under: Bacillus sp. CH89_3T
Lineage: Bacteria; Bacillati; Bacillota; Bacilli; Caryophanales; Bacillaceae
Description: bacterial SSU rRNA
Rfam family: Bacterial small subunit ribosomal RNA
Source: RNAcentral